GGGCUAUUAGCUCAAUUGGUAGAGCAGCUGACUCUUAAUCAGGAGGUUGCAGGUUCGAGUCCUGCAUGGCCCACCA
RNAcentral lists this transfer RNA (76 nucleotides) under Deltaproteobacteria bacterium. RNAcentral describes it as "tRNA-Lys". It matches the Rfam family "tRNA". Rfam says of the family: Transfer RNA (tRNA) molecules are approximately 80 nucleotides in length. Their secondary structure includes four short double-helical elements and three loops (D, anti-codon, and T loops). The record is from RNAcentral. Lineage: Bacteria; Pseudomonadati; Myxococcota; Myxococcia.